CCUACGGGAGGCAGCAGUGAGGAAUAUUGGUCAAUGGGAGAGAUCCUGAACCAGCCAAGCCGCGUGAGGGAAGACGGCCCUAUGGGUUGUAAACCUCUUUUGUCGGAGAACAAAACCCGGGACGUGUCCCGGACUGCGUGUAUCCGAAGAAAAAGCAUCGGCUAACUCCGUGCCAGCAGCCGCGGUAAUACGGAGGAUCCAAGCGUUAUCCGGAUUUAUUGGGUUUAAAGGGUGCGUAGGCGGAUUGAUAAGUUAGAGGUGAAAUGUCCGAGCUCAACUCGGGAACUGCCUCUAAUACUGUUGAU
Molecule: ribosomal RNA, 305 nt
Filed under: uncultured bacterium
Lineage: Bacteria
Description: bacterial SSU rRNA
Rfam family: Bacterial small subunit ribosomal RNA
Source: RNAcentral